UACAGAGGGUGCGAGCGUUGUUCGGAAUUACUGGGCGUAAAGCGCGUGUAGGCGGCCAACUAAGUCAGACGUGAAAUCCCUCAGCUUAACUGGGGAACUGCGUCUGAUACUGGAUGGCUUGAGUUUGGGAGAGGGAUGCGGAAUUCCAGGUGUAGCGGUGAAAUGCGUAGAUAUCAGGAGGAACACCAAUGGCGAAGGCAGCUCGCUGGGACGUGACUGACGCUGAGACGCGAAAGCGUGGGGAGCAAACAGG
Molecule: ribosomal RNA, 253 nt
Filed under: uncultured bacterium
Lineage: Bacteria
Description: partial 16S ribosomal RNA
Rfam family: Bacterial small subunit ribosomal RNA
Source: RNAcentral